Molecule: ribosomal RNA, 448 nt
Filed under: Merlangius merlangus (whiting)
Lineage: Eukaryota; Metazoa; Chordata; Actinopteri; Gadiformes; Gadidae
Description: partial small subunit ribosomal RNA
Rfam family: Bacterial small subunit ribosomal RNA
Source: RNAcentral
CAAAGGUUUGGUCCUGACUUUACUAUCAAUUGUAUCCUGAUUUACACAUGCAAGUCUCCGCCUCCCCGUGAGAAUGCCCUUAAUGUCCUGCCCGGAAUUAAGGAGCAGGUAUCAGGCACAUUUAAUGUUUAUUAGCCCAUAACGCCUUGCUCAGCCACACCCCUACGGGUAUUCAGCAGUGAUAAAAUUUAAGCCAUAAGUGAAAGCUUGACUUAGUUAAGGAAAAGAGGGCCGGUAAAACUCGUGCCAGCCACCGCGGUUAUACGAGAGGCCCAAAUUGAUGAAAAACGGCGUAAAGCGUGGUUAAGAAAAUAAGAGAAAAUAUGGCCGAACAACUUCAAAGCAGUUAUACGCAUCCGAAGUCACGAAGAACAAUCACGAAAGUUGCCCUAAAGCCUCCGAUUCCACGAAAGCCAUAAAACAAACUGGGAUUAGAUACCCCACUAUG